GCCUGGGUGGUUCAGUUGGUUGAGCAUCCGACUUUGGCUCGGGUCAUGAUCUCACGGUUUGUGAGUUCGAGCCCCACGUCAGGCU
RNAcentral lists this transfer RNA (85 nucleotides) under Felis catus (domestic cat). It matches the Rfam family "tRNA". From Rfam's summary of the family: Transfer RNA (tRNA) molecules are approximately 80 nucleotides in length. Their secondary structure includes four short double-helical elements and three loops (D, anti-codon, and T loops). Further hydrogen bonds mediate the characteristic L-shaped molecular structure. tRNAs have two regions of fundamental functional importance: the anti-codon, which is responsible for specific mRNA codon recognition, and the 3' end, to which the tRNAs corresponding amino acid is attached (by aminoacyl-tRNA synthetases). tRNAs cope with the degeneracy of the genetic code in two manners: having more than one tRNA (with a specific anti-codon) for a particular amino acid; and 'wobble' base-pairing, i.e. permitting non-standard base-pairing at the 3rd anti-codon position. The record is from Rfam by way of RNAcentral. Lineage: Eukaryota; Metazoa; Chordata; Mammalia; Carnivora; Felidae. RNAcentral also lists the same sequence under 4 other names.